Dioscorea cayenensis subsp. rotundata (Guinea yam) is the source of this 119-nucleotide ribosomal RNA. The record is from RefSeq and is a predicted model, not a curated record. NCBI's taxonomy places the organism in Eukaryota, Viridiplantae, Streptophyta, Magnoliopsida, Dioscoreales, Dioscoreaceae.
GGUUGCGAUCAUAACAACACUAAAGCACCGGAUCCUAUCAGAACUCUGAAGUUAAGCGUGCUUGGGCGAGAGUAAUACUAGGAUGGGUGACCCCUUGGGAAGUCCUCGUGUUGCACCCC